AACGAACGCUGGCGGCAUGCCUAACACAUGCAAGUCGAACGAUUGCCUUCGGGUGAUAGUGGCGCACGGGUGCGUAACGCGUGGGAAUCUGCCCUUAGGUUCGGAAUAACAGCUGGAAACGGCUGCUAAUACCGGAUGAUAUCGCGAGAUCAAAGAUUUAUCGCCUGAGGAUGAGCCCGCGUUGGAUUAGGUAGUUGGUGGGGUAAAGGCCUACCAAGCCGACGAUCCAUAGCUGGUCUGAGAGGAUGAUCAGCCACACUGGGACUGAGACACGGCCCAGACUCCUACGGGAGGGAGCAGUGGGGAAUAUUGGACAAUGGGCGCAAGCCUGAUCCAGCAAUGCCGCGUGAGUGAUGAAGGCCCUAGGGUUGUAAAGCUCUUUUACCCGGGAAGAUAAUGACUGUACCGGGAGAAUAAGCCCCGGCUAACUCCGUG
This 435-nucleotide ribosomal RNA is filed under the name uncultured bacterium. RNAcentral describes it as "partial 16S ribosomal RNA". It matches the Rfam family "Bacterial small subunit ribosomal RNA", at positions 29 to 507 of the family's 1533-position model. The record is from RNAcentral.